UACGUAGGAGGCGAGCGUUGUCCGGAGUUACUGGGCGUAAAGGGCCUGUAGGCGGUUCGGUAAGUUUGGAGUGACAAUUCCCGGCUCAACUGGGAAAGGGCUUCGAAAACUGCUGAACUUGAGGGCUUGAGAGGGAGGCGGAAUUCCGAGUGGAGCGGUGAAAUGCGUAGAGAUUCGGAGGAACACCAACGGCGAAGGCAGCCUCCUGGGAAGUACCUGACGCUGAGGGGCGAAAGCUAGGGGAG
RNAcentral lists this ribosomal RNA (245 nucleotides) under uncultured bacterium. RNAcentral describes it as "partial 16S ribosomal RNA". It matches the Rfam family "Bacterial small subunit ribosomal RNA", at positions 524 to 768 of the family's 1533-position model. The record is from RNAcentral.